CAAGAGCCCACGUUCGCUAAGAACACCACGUCCUGUGGCAACGCCUUUGUAACCAAUGUCCUGUUGG
This 67-nucleotide small RNA is filed under the name Lentibacillus halodurans. Its description in RNAcentral is "Bacillaceae-1 RNA". The stretch from base 10 to 67 matches the Rfam family "Bacillaceae-1 RNA", at positions 10 to 67 of the family's 67-position model. The record is from Rfam by way of RNAcentral. Lineage: Bacteria; Bacillati; Bacillota; Bacilli; Caryophanales; Bacillaceae.